Molecule: ribosomal RNA, 246 nt
Filed under: uncultured bacterium
Lineage: Bacteria
Description: partial small subunit ribosomal RNA
Rfam family: Bacterial small subunit ribosomal RNA
Source: RNAcentral
AGAAUCAACGCUGGCGGCGUGCCUAACACAUGCAAGUCGCACGAGAAAGGGACUUCGGUCCUGAGUACAGUGGCGCACGGGUGAGUAACACGUGAAUCAUCUACCUCCGAGUGGGGAAUAACCUAGAGAAAUCUGGGCUAAUACCGCAUAACACUUACGAGUCAAAGCAGCAAUGCGCUUGGAGAGGAGUUCGCGGCAGAUUAGUUAGUUGGCGGGGUAAUGGCCCACCGAAGACGAUGAUCUGUA